GACUGACCAAGGCCACUUCGCUUCCCUUUCUCCGCUCUCUCUGCGCCAAUUCUCCAAUCCACUCCCUGCCACUGGGGCGGCGGGUAGGUCUGGGCUGGCCUGUUGGCAUUGCAGGGACCCGGAGCAUUUCAUGGACCGGUGUCCAGCGAUGGAGGUGGGGACGUUGAUCCGGGUCCCGGAUGUCCCACAGGUCACCCCCGGUCAGGCUGGCGAGUACCAAAUACCCAUACAAGGACCCUGUGUAUCACAGCAUCACAUAAUCCCAAUGUAUGGAAACGCCCCAGGAAUUGUUAAUAAUUAGUGGACCUCAAUACAAAGAACCGAUACAGGGUCAUCCCAUGACUUUGCUUCCUGCUUGCUUGAGAAUCUUUCUACGAACUGAACUUUUCAACAAACUGUCUCAAAAGGACAACCAUUAAGAAGGUAAUCAGUGCAACUUUCACCAAUGUUUUAUGUAUGGUUUUUAUAACUUUAACAGAUAGUGCUAUUAAAUGUGUGUAAGAUAUGGAAAGUUUAGUAUUGAAUGAAAGCUCACGUUAUUUAUCUAAACUUGGAGCAAAUGAAAUUUCCAGAUUCUGUAUUGUGUGCAUAUUAUGACACUUUAUAAGGUAUUAACCCAAAGAUCCAUCCCACAUGACAAUGCCACAUGAUGUUUAAUCGAGAAACAGUACGGGGUGUGUCUUAGCUCUGCAACAGCAUCCCAUUGGGAGAUCGCACCGUGGGAUGGACCAAAUCUGCUUUGAUAAAACCCCAAUGCUCCAGUCUAGUCUCUAGUCUAGUCUCCAAGCGCGUCAUCUCUUGUCGAGGGUGGUGUCGUGUGUCGUGUCGCUUAAAUGCGGUGCGCUGCGCUACGCUGCUCUUCCAUCUAGGCCAUGGCUUGAACUACCAACACGCUGCUAGCGUUCUUGCCAUCCAGAACUCAAAACCACUCCGUUGAAACUUUGUGACAGCGAAACCAUGCUUGCUUGCGCCUUUUCAACCCAGGCUCCUAGCCAUCAGCGUGCUUGCAAGUCAUAAAGAGCUUCAACUUUCCGUGACAGAAUCUUCAAAGCUCACGCCGCACAAACGAGAGGACUCAGAAGAAACUUUGUCCACUGUCAAGGCAAGAGCUGUUGAAUCUCUCAAAAUCGCUGGGCAGUCAACCAACCAAUCAAGGCAAAGGGCAUCCCCAGACAUCAUCUACGCAACCGCGAAUCCCCCUUUCCCCUUUCAGCUCAACGCGAGCCAAGGAGACGAAACGACACCGCGGCCAGCAGCACAACCACAAUAAUUGGCGUGGAGAGAGUAUAAAAGCCAGGAGAGACGGAAUCAAGCGAGAGAGAGACGGACUGCUGACCCAGGCCGGAAGCGGAAACCGGAAAAAGAGGAAAAGGAAAGUGCUACUGAGCGUGUCAGAAUAAAAGUCACCGUUUGGGUGUUUAUAACCUUUUUUGUUUUGUUAAUAAAAAAACCUUUCAGCAGUCCAGCCGACCCCUUUGUCCUCUUCCUUCCAUCCCACGAACAUUGUUACAGUAACAAUAAGUUAGAUAAAAAGUUAUCUUUCAGAAAUAAUUACCUAAAAGGAGUAACCUAGAUUAGGUUUUAUGUUUUAGUUUUUAUAUUUUGUUUUCAUUUGAAUUUCAGGUGAAAGCUUCAGUCCUUUUAUUAUUCUUUAUUUACAUUUGCACAUCCCCAGUAGAGCUGUUACAUCACUUUGAUACAAUACCUUGAACAAUAUUUGUAUUUCAUACCUUUUUCAAUUCUUGAAAGAAAAAAAAAUGUACUAGUUCCUCGUGCUAAACAACCUUGCUGAGUUUCUCU
Molecule: long non-coding RNA, 1800 nt
Organism: Carassius gibelio (silver crucian carp)
Lineage: Eukaryota; Metazoa; Chordata; Actinopteri; Cypriniformes; Cyprinidae
Exons: 3
Source: RefSeq, a predicted model, not a curated record